UUGUCUCAGUUAGUAUAUCAUAAUGGAUGUUUCAUUGAUAGCAGACGCAACGAAUAACUUGAUAGUAUAUCUGGCAACAAUCAUAGAGAUUGCUCAUUAUACUCUGGUAAUUUACGGAGUACGGAAUGACUGGGAUGUCAACAAGGCAAGGAAACAGCCAGUUGCCACAUGGUUGAUGUCGAUAGCUUGUUGCUACGGUGGAGGGAUGAUCAUAAGUGUUUGUGUAGGAAAACCUGCUCUGACUCCUCUAUCCAAUAAUCAGUCAGUUCUCAUGAUGACAAUAGUAUGGUGGCACAUUUUCUACUCUCCCAAAGAUGUCAUUUAUAAUUUGUCGUCAUGGAAACCAGCGAUGUUAGUGAUUGUUCUGGGAAAAGAAAUGAUCCGAACAAGAAAAAUUAUAAAAGGAGUGAAACUCGGUCGUGGAGCUUUCCCUGACUCUCUCUUGAUCUGUACUAUUCUUGGAAUGUUUGGAGCCUGCGGAGGGGGGUUCGUCAAAAAUGCUGCAACGUUUGUGAGGAAACAAUGGAAUCAUGAGACCGUGAAAUCUAUUCAUUUGGCGACUAACAAAGCUCAGUCUUCUGUUCUCGCUAUUUUACAAUCUACAACUUCUAGGAAUGCUGCCGAUCUCAUUCAACACUGUUGUUCUUCUACAACUAACUGUGAUGUUCCUGAUAUCGAACGCAGAGGACCUCCACCUACCACCUCCACCUCUUUUUUUCCGAGUAACAAAGCUCAGUCUUCUGUUCUCGCUAUUUUACAAUCUACAACUUCUAGGAAUGCUGCCGAUCUCAUUCAACACUGUUGUUCUUCUACAACUAACUGUGAUGUUCCUGAUAUCGGCUUCUUCCAAGUUUGGCGUCAACUUUGAUCCGUUCCAUCGAAUUGAGAAGAUAAUCACAAGUUGUGUGAUAGAUUAUUCUGCGUAUGGGGGGAACUGAGGAGGAAAAAUCCCCUCAGAAAAAAGUCGGGGAGGAAAAAUCCCCUGAAAAGAAAAAAGAUUCUUUGAAAAAGAAAGAAUAAGCCCACAGCUUUGCCGCAAAUUGAAAAUGUUUCAUCUCAAAGAAGUGGAUCCGACAUUCUUUUGACUCGGAAUGCAGUAUCUGACAGAAACGUUCUAUACAACAUAGAAAUCUUCGGUGAUGAUGUGAAACUUGGAGAGACUCACACUACAGAAGUUCCUCAGUAUAGAAUGAAGUCACCUAUACUUGGUAAAACAUAUCGUUUCCAAGUCUGGGCCAAGGAUGAAUGGGGAAACUCUGGCAUCAAAACGCAGUCAAAGAAUGUUAUAAAAGAACGCAGAGGACCUCCACCUAUCAACUUUGCUGGAGCAAAUAUUGGGAAUCUUCAUCUAUCGGGAGAGAAAAUCAGAACAAUCAGCAAAUGGGGCAAAAUGAACAAGAAGAAGCUGGUGCAGUAGGUGGAAACCAUGCAAUAGAAUAAACCAAUACAGCAUGAAGGUGAUGACGAUUCCGAUGAUCUUGAGAAGUCUCCCAAACUGACCACGUUCUAAAGACAUUGCAAUAAGACAAUAAUCUCAGACUUAAUGCCGAAUGAUCCUGUGGUAUCCUGCAACACAUUAUGGACAUGCAUAUGUAGUGAAAGGCUUAAAUAUUAGAAAUAUUAACUCUUAAAGACUAGAUAGUCUAGUCCAAUAAUAGUAGAAUUAGGGGAAAAAUUUCAUAAUUUUUUUUUUAUGUGAAAUGCUGAUUUUGCAUAGGCUUGGAUUGUGAAAACAUAGUAAUUGACUCUUAGUCAUAUGCACCACCCUUCAGCAACGAUUUCGGCAAUUUAGGUCAUCCCUCACAAGAUUUGACCUCUUGAACUGACCUCAGAGCAUUUUGUAAAAUUCUGCACCAAAUCCUGAUCAGCAUGUUUUUUCAUACAAAUUCUUGUCAUUUCAUAAUUUUUUAAUUUUUUUUUCCUAUUAGUUUUACAAAUUAGGUUCAAAUAGCCAUUGUUCGAAUUUUUAUUAAUUUUUGUUGUGAAAUGGAUUAUUAUCUUUUGCUUUUAUGUUUUUCAAUUAUUGUCAACCACUGAUAUUUAUUAUUUCUGUGUAUAUUUCAAAACAUCCCUAUGAAUUUAUGAUAUUCUGAUUUGUCGGCAAACCCGCCAUAAAUUAUGCAUUUCUUGACUGUUAUAAUAACAGUUGGACUGGAGUGAUUGAUUUUUGGCUCAGUGUUGUGGUUUGAUAUUGUGUUCCGAAAACUUGGUAGCUAAGGACUCUACUGGAGCCCAGUGUAACUUUGCCCCUAAUCUAUGUAAAGUAAUAAGAAAUGUCCAUUAUGGAUUCUAGUAAUAAUAUAAUAGUGAUACAUGUAGAAUAUUACAAUGAUGUUUUGCAAUGCCUAUUACGAAUUUCCAUUUUUUUGUCUUUUGUGUGAGUCAGGUUUUUAAAUUUUCAUGUACUGCAAUCCGCUUUUCUUGUUCAUCAUUAUUCUCUAUAACUCCGUGUGUGUCUCUAAGUUUUAAAAAAGUAAAAA
Molecule: non-coding RNA, 2480 nt
Organism: Styela clava
Lineage: Eukaryota; Metazoa; Chordata; Ascidiacea; Stolidobranchia; Styelidae
Source: RefSeq, a predicted model, not a curated record